Molecule: small nucleolar RNA, 107 nt
Filed under: Thalictrum thalictroides
Lineage: Eukaryota; Viridiplantae; Streptophyta; Magnoliopsida; Ranunculales; Ranunculaceae
Description: Plant small nucleolar RNA R71
Rfam family: Plant small nucleolar RNA R71
About the family: R71 is a member of the C/D box family of snoRNAs containing the C (UGAUGA) and D (CUGA) box motifs. Multiple nearly identical copies of this snoRNA have been identified in Arabidopsis, and it is thought to function as a 2'-O-ribose methylation guide for 18S ribosomal RNA.
Source: Rfam by way of RNAcentral
AUUUGAUGACGUGGGCAUUUUAUUAAAAGAUCAUUAAAUCUAUCCCAAGCCUCGUAAAAUUCUUCAUUAGGUUUUUGUGUAAAUGUUUGAAUUCUAUUUCGCAUAUC